CUAGCCGCAGGCCUAACACAUGCAAGUCGAGGGGUAGAGUGCUUCGGCACUUGAGACCGGCGCACGGGGUGCGUAACACGUGUACAAUCUACCUUUUGCUAAGGGAUAGCCCGAAGAAAUUUGGAUUAAUACCUUAUAGUAUUGUUUGGUGGCAUCACUGAAUAAUUAAAGCUCUGGUGGCAAAAGAUGAGUACGCGUCCCAUUAGCUAGUUGGUGUGGUAACGGCAUACCAAGGCUACGAUGGGUAGGGGUCCUGAGAGGGAGGUCCCCCACACUGGUACUGAGACACGGACCAGACUCCUACGGGAGGCAGCAGUGAGGAAUAUUGGACAAUGGUCGGAAGACUGAUCCANCCAUGCCGCGUGCAGGAUGACGGCCUUAUGGGUUGUAAACUGCUUUUAUACAGGAAGAAUAAGGUCUACGAGUAGAUUGAUGACGGUACUGUAUGAAUAAGCAUCGGCUAACUCCGUGCCAGCAGCCGCGGUAAUACGGAGGAUGCGAGCGUUAUCCGGAAUCAUUGGGUUUAAAGGGUCCGUAGGCGGGCUUAUAAGUCAGAGGUGAAAGCACUGAGCUCAACUGAGUAACUGCCUUUGAAACUGUAGGUCUUGAAUGUUUGUGAAGUAGCUGGAAUGUGUAGUGUAGCGGUGAAAUGCAUANAUAUUACACAGAACACCGAUUGCGAAGGCAUGUUACUAACAAAUUAUUGACGCUGAUGGACGAAAGCGUGGGGAGCGAACAGGAUUAGAUACCCUGGUAGUCCACGCUGUAAACGAUGGAUACUAGCUGUUUGGAAUUAACUCUGAGGGGCUAAGCGAAAGUGAUAAGUAUCCCACCUGGGGAGUACGCACNCNAGUGUGAAACUCAAAGGAAUUGACGGGGGCCCGCNCAANCGGUGGAGCAUGUGGUUUAAUUCGAUGNUACGCGAGGAACCUUACCAAGGUUUAAAUGGGAAACGACAUACCUAGAGAUAGGNUUUCUUCGGACG
RNAcentral lists this ribosomal RNA (985 nucleotides) under Capnocytophaga canimorsus. RNAcentral describes it as "bacterial SSU rRNA". It matches the Rfam family "Bacterial small subunit ribosomal RNA", at positions 36 to 1023 of the family's 1533-position model. Lineage: Bacteria; Pseudomonadati; Bacteroidota; Flavobacteriia; Flavobacteriales; Flavobacteriaceae. The record is from RNAcentral.